UGUGACUGAGGGAACCUCCAAGUGCUUAUCCAAAAGAUAGGGCUUUUUAGUAUGUAAUGUAUACUAAGAAUAAGUGAUGGGCAAGACCGGUGCCAGCAGCCGCGGUAAUACCGGCGUCACAAGUGGAGAUCACGAUUACUGGGUCUAAAGUGUUCGUAGCUGGUCAUAUAAGUCUCUUGUGAAAGUUCUGUAGCUUAACUCAGAAUUGCAAGAGAUACUG
This 220-nucleotide ribosomal RNA is filed under the name uncultured euryarchaeote. RNAcentral describes it as "partial 16S ribosomal RNA". It matches the Rfam family "Archaeal small subunit ribosomal RNA", at positions 366 to 586 of the family's 1478-position model. Lineage: Archaea; Methanobacteriati; Methanobacteriota. The record is from RNAcentral.